GUGAUUAGGCCUCUGUUAAAUCCCAUACCAUGGUUUGGUAGGUACACUAUGGAGCUUAGGAAUUCUAGAGUCAACCUAGUGAUGGAACUAAAUUUCCUCUUGAUAGCAAAGGUGUCCCAGCCUAGUUGGUUGAUUAGGAACAUGACAUUGUCUAUUAUACCUAAUUUGGUCAUGGUUAGUUCAUCUGGGUAUAAGGUUAUUGUCAUUUCUCUCUGAAAUAGAGUCUCAAAAUGUCUCCUUUGAGCUCUUCCUCUGAAGACUAUAUCCAUGUAAUCUACUUGUUG
This 284-nucleotide long non-coding RNA is filed under the name Lathyrus oleraceus (garden pea). RNAcentral's name for it is "Pisum sativum (pea) long non-coding RNA (PSAT_LNC020762)". Lineage: Eukaryota; Viridiplantae; Streptophyta; Magnoliopsida; Fabales; Fabaceae. The record is from RNAcentral.